This 678-nucleotide ribosomal RNA is filed under the name Vibrio parahaemolyticus. Its description in RNAcentral is "partial 23S ribosomal RNA". It matches the Rfam family "Bacterial large subunit ribosomal RNA", at positions 540 to 1222 of the family's 2925-position model. Lineage: Bacteria; Pseudomonadati; Pseudomonadota; Gammaproteobacteria; Vibrionales; Vibrionaceae. The record is from RNAcentral.
GAAAUAGAACCUGAAACCGUGUACGUACAAGCAGUAGGAGCAGGCUUUGUCCUGUGACUGCGUACCUUUUGUAUAAUGGGUCAGCGACUUAUAUUCAGUGGCAAGGUUAACCAUCUAGGGGAGCCGUAGGGAAACCGAGUCUUAACUGGGCGUUCAGUCUCUGGAUAUAGACCCGAAACCAGGUGAUCUAGCCAUGGGCAGGUUGAAGGUUGAGUAACAUCAACUGGAGGACCGAACCGACUAAUGUUGAAAAAUUAGCGGAUGACUUGUGGCUAGGGGUGAAAGGCCAAUCAAACCUGGAGAUAGCUGGUUCUCCCCGAAAGCUAUUUAGGUAGCGCCUCGGACGAAUACUACUGGGGGUAGAGCACUGUUAAGGCUAGGGGGUCAUCCCGACUUACCAACCCUUUGCAAACUCCGAAUACCAGUAAGUACUAUCCGGGAGACACACGGCGGGUGCUAACGUCCGUCGUGGAGAGGGAAACAACCCAGACCGCCAGCUAAGGUCCCAAAUUACUACUAAGUGGGAAACGAUGUGGGAAGGCUCAGACAGCCAGGAUGUUGGCUUAGAAGCAGCCAUCAUUUAAAGAAAGCGUAAUAGCUCACUGGUCGAGUCGGCCUGCGCGGAAGAUGUAACGGGGCUAAGUAGUAAACCGAAGCUGCGGCAAUAUACUUUUGUAU